GUCUGGAUAGCUUCAUUAGUGGAGUAUCAGGCUUUUAAUCUGAGGGUUCAGGGUUCAAGCUCCUGUAUAGGCA
Molecule: transfer RNA, 73 nt
Filed under: Cricetulus griseus (Chinese hamster)
Lineage: Eukaryota; Metazoa; Chordata; Mammalia; Rodentia; Cricetidae
Rfam family: tRNA
About the family: Transfer RNA (tRNA) molecules are approximately 80 nucleotides in length. Their secondary structure includes four short double-helical elements and three loops (D, anti-codon, and T loops).
Source: Rfam by way of RNAcentral